GAGGAUAUAGCUUAGUGGUAGGGUACGUGCUUAGCAUGCAUGAGGUCCUGGGUUCGAUCCCCAACAUCUCCA
This 72-nucleotide transfer RNA is filed under the name Camelus bactrianus (Bactrian camel). It matches the Rfam family "tRNA". From Rfam's summary of the family: Transfer RNA (tRNA) molecules are approximately 80 nucleotides in length. Lineage: Eukaryota; Metazoa; Chordata; Mammalia; Artiodactyla; Camelidae. RNAcentral also lists the same sequence under 2 other names. The record is from Rfam by way of RNAcentral.